This 72-nucleotide transfer RNA is filed under the name Urocitellus parryii (Arctic ground squirrel). RNAcentral's name for it is "Spermophilus parryii (Arctic ground squirrel) tRNA". It matches the Rfam family "tRNA". From Rfam's summary of the family: Transfer RNA (tRNA) molecules are approximately 80 nucleotides in length. Their secondary structure includes four short double-helical elements and three loops (D, anti-codon, and T loops). RNAcentral also lists the same sequence under 2 other names. The record is from Rfam by way of RNAcentral. Lineage: Eukaryota; Metazoa; Chordata; Mammalia; Rodentia; Sciuridae.
AGUGAUGUGGCUCAGUGGGAGAGUGUGUGCCUAGCAUGCACAAGACCCUGGGUUCGGUCCCUAGCUCCACUA